Molecule: ribosomal RNA, 189 nt
Filed under: uncultured Staphylococcus sp.
Lineage: Bacteria; Bacillati; Bacillota; Bacilli; Caryophanales; Staphylococcaceae
Description: partial 16S ribosomal RNA
Rfam family: Bacterial small subunit ribosomal RNA
Source: RNAcentral
CCGGGAACCGGGCUAAUACCGGAUAACACAUGAAACCGCAUGGUUUCAUGAUGAAAGACGGUUUUGCUGUCACUUAUAGAUGGACCCGCGGCGUAUUAGCUAGUUGGUAAGGUAACGGCUUACCAAGGCAACGAUACGUAGCCGACCUGAGAGGGUGAUCGGCCACACUGGAACUGAGACACGGUCCAG